CAGCAGCCGCGGUAAUACAUAGGUUGCAAGCGUUAUCCGGAUUUACUGGGCGUAAAGCAAGCGCAGGUUGAUUAGCAAGUCUGGUGUGAAAUGCGAUAGCUUAACUAUCGUAUGCAUGGGAAACUGCUAGUCUAGAGUACAGUAGGGUGUUUUGGAACUCCAUGUGGAGCGGUGGAAUGCGUAGAUAUAUGGAAGAACACCAGUGGCGAAGGCGAAAACAUUGGCUGUAACUGACACUUAGGCUUGAAAGUGUGGGGAGCAAAUAGGAUUAGAUACCCUAGUAGUCCACACCGUAAACGAUGGAUAUUAAAUAUUGGUACUUGAUGUAUCAGUAUUGUAGCUAACGCGAUAAAUAUCCCGCCUGGGUAGUACAUUCGCAAGAAUGAAACUCAAACGGAAUUGACGGGGACCCGCACAAGUGGUGGAUUAUGUUGUUUAAUUCGACGAUACACGAAGAACCUUACCUAGUCUUGACAUCCCCUGCAAAGUUAUAGAAAUAUAAUGGAGGUUAACAGGGUGACAGGUGGUGCAUGGCC
RNAcentral lists this ribosomal RNA (536 nucleotides) under uncultured archaeon. Its description in RNAcentral is "bacterial SSU rRNA". It matches the Rfam family "Bacterial small subunit ribosomal RNA", at positions 509 to 1050 of the family's 1533-position model. The record is from RNAcentral.